GCCAGUGAUGCGAACCAACUCAGACGACAAAAUUGCCGUCGCCUCUUCGGUCCGUGCCAUCGUGCCCUUGGGAAUCUAUCUCUCUGGUUUUGGUUUCUCUUGGUCCAAAGACACAGAUCCCCUUGCAAUCUCGUAUACCCUUUUUAGAUUCAGAUCGCAGAGUUGUGGAACCCUAGCUCCUCUUUUAUGCUCGGCUAGUUUUUUUUGUCUCUCUCCUCAACGUUCGUCAUGGAGCGGAUUGUAGGCUGCAAGUAUAAGCUUGGCCGCAAGAUCGGAAGCGGAUCCUUCGGUGAAAUUUAUCUGGCUACGCAUAUUGACACUUUCGAGAUCGUCGCUGUCAAGAUCGAGAACAGUAAAACAAAGCAUCCGCAGUUGCUUUACGAGGCAAAACUGUACAAUAUUCUUCAAGGAGGAAGUGGCAUUCCUAGCAUAAAAUGGUCUGGCCUGGAUGGGGAGGAGAAUGUGCUUGUUCUUGAUUUACUGGGACCGAGUCUUGAGGAUUUGUUUGUGUAUUGUGGAAGGAAGUUUUCAUUGAAGACAGUCUUAAUGCUGGCUGAUCAAAUGAUAACUAGAAUAGAAUAUGUGCAUUCCAAGGGAUUUUUACAUCGGGAUAUAAAACCCGAUAACUUUCUUAUGGGACUUGGUCGGAAGGCUAACCAGGUUUACAUAAUUGAUUUUGGUCUUGCAAAGAGGUAUCGGGACUCCACAACCAAUCGCCACAUCCCUUAUAGGGAGAACAAAAAUUUAACGGGGACUGCACGUUAUGCAAGUUGCAAUACUCAUCUAGGGAUUGAACAAAGCCGACGGGAUGAUUUGGAGUCACUGGGUUAUGUUCUUCUGUACUUCCUGAGAGGAAGUCUUCCUUGGCAAGGUCUGAAGGCUGCAACAAAGAAGCAGAAGUAUGAUAAAAUAUGUGAAAAGAAAUUGUCAACUCCAAUUGAGGUCCUCUGCAAGUCUCAUCCUGUAGAGUUUGCUUCAUACUUUCACUACUGCCACUCUCUGACUUUUGACCAGCGGCCUGAUUAUGGGUUCUUGAAGCGUGUAUUUCGGGAACUAUUCACUCGAGAAGGAUAUGAAUUUGACUAUGUAUUUGAUUGGACCAUCUUGAAGUAUCAGCAGGCACAAAAGAACAAAUCUCAGCCACGCAUACCCCCUGUUACUGGAGCAAGCAACAGUCGUGUGACGCCAAUGGAUGUUGACAACCAUCAUGUUGAUGUAUCAGAUCGCAUUAGAUCAGGCAAUGCUACCAGUUCCGGUGUUAAAUUGCAGUUUAAAUCACCAAUUGGCAAAAAUUUAAGUUCUGAACAUCCUUUUAAGAAGAAUAUUUUUGGAGAGGAGAACAUGCCCUCUACUUCAUAUUCACUUUCUGGUACCUCCAAGAGGGACUUCUUGAAGCCCAUCAUGCCUUCUGAAGCUGCUAAUUCUGGACAGGAACAUGUUAGUAAAAUUGGCCCUUCUAGCAGCUGGAUUUCAUCUCUGCAUCGCACCAAAUGAAAUACCAAUAUGCUGUGAAUCUGUUCAAGAAAAUUCUCUGCAUAUGUGGUGGUUCACUUGCAUCUUUCCUGUGUAUUCAAUAGAGAAUAUCCCAGUAAGUUAUUGAUGGAGACUCUCAAAUUUGCUGCCAUCUUGUGCUACUUCUUUUCCAAGGAUGCUCAAGCAGCACUUCUCUACUUGUAGGUAGCGCAAAUAUUGGCACUCAGCCAGGUUAACUUGUACUGACAUUUGGGGGAUUAACGAGUGCAAACUGGUUUUGUCAGUCUAGUUCAAGGUUUGAAUAUGGUGCUGCACAUUUCAUGUUUCAUUGAUUAAAUUGAUUGGAAAUGGGCUGCUCAAUUAUCAGUUCAUACUUUUUACUUUUGAAGGAAUUUCUAUUCAAACCAAUAUUUAUCUGAGGGAUGAAUUAUGACUGAAUAGGUUCCCCUAUCAACAGGUGCUUGCCUCUCUAUAUUCUCACUUCUGAUGAAUAGAUUUGUUUAAACGGCAAUUGGGUGAGAAUGAAUUAAAGAUAUAACGAUCCUAGCAUUUCUAUCAGUUAGCAUCUAUCCAUGAUCUGACUUUUUGAAUAGACUAACAUGAAUUCUAUAGUUAUUAGUGGUCAUAUACUUAUGAAAUGGCUACUUGAUGAUAGCACCUUAUUUGUAUAGACCCAAGUUUACCUGCCACUUGCUAGCUCAAUCUGUAGUCAUGUGGAUUGGGUUGCAGCAGCUUGAAGUUUUAAAAUAUUUUAACUGGAGGGAUGAGUUAAUCUAUUCAUCUGUUCUCAUAAUUUGGCAUUCAGAUUUUCAAAGAGUUUGGUGCCUGGGAGCUCCGCAAAGUUCUUUUUCCUGAUAUUGGAUUAUUCUGAAACCUUUAAUUAGGGAUUAUGAAAGCAGAUAUUUUUGAUGAAUUUAAUCAUCUGUGAAACCAGUGAUUUCAUAGCUCUUAAUAAUCUUUUGAAUGUUGUAAGAAAUGUUGAUGUUUUGGACCUUAAAAGUACGAACUAUUGGGUUUUCUUUUGUGACAAAUUGUGCAAGAGAAUAACAGAUUGGCUCCAUGCUGUCAUUUGGCCGUGGAUCUAGAUAGGCUUUGUAAUAAAUUUUAAAAGAGAUGCUUUCAAUGUGUGUUUGUCGCUAUAUGCAAUAGGCCUUUUGAUGAAUGGAUCUUUUGAUUGUUAUUCAACAUUUCUGUUAGGAGGCUGCCCCUUCAUGGACAGGAUCUUGGCUCAUUUUUGGUUCACGGUGCUGGUUCUAAUGAGAAUACAUUUGAAGGCCGGUAACUUGGGUAUCCUGAUCCACCAUUCUAUCGACGCUCCUGUUGGAUGGAUGACGACUGCAGCUCAUAGCGGACUGAUCAAAUGAGAUGGAGUGGAGAGGAUUGAUUUUGUGAUGAAGAUAGAAACACGUAGACUCUUGGGAGUUGUUUGGUCCAUGGCAUUUUCUUCCUCAAUUUCAAUACUGUGGCGUCAUAGGCCAAUUCUUUUCCUUUUUAGUCAUUCUGUAGAAUAUACUCGAGAUAAAAGCCUAGAGAUGUCUGAGACUCUGAAUAUCUUGCAGUCCAAUCUAUCUCACAUUUCCAAGAUUCUGGUGGAAAAAUAUGCUUGAGUCAGAUGGUCCAUGUAGCUGAUAGUUGUAUUAGUGUUGUGAUUACAAUUUUGACAUGCAUAAAGUUCAGAGUUAAAUAUUUGCUAAUACUA
This is an RNA transcript of Prosopis cineraria, 3172 nucleotides long. It is a transcript of the gene named casein kinase 1-like protein 3, with no coding region annotated. The record is from RefSeq and is a predicted model, not a curated record. Lineage: Eukaryota; Viridiplantae; Streptophyta; Magnoliopsida; Fabales; Fabaceae. The transcript has 17 exons.